UACGUAGGGGGCUAGCGUUGUCCGGAAUCAUUGGGCGUAAAGCGCGUGUAGGCGGUCCGGUAAGUCCGCUGUGAAAGUCGGGGGCUCAACCCUCGGAUGCCGGUGGAUACUGUCGGGCUUGAGUACGGAAGAGGCGAGUGGAAUUCCUGGUGUAGCGGUGAAAUUCGUAGAUAUUGGGUGGAACACCGGUGGCGAAAGCGGCUCUCUGGUCCGGACCUGACGCUGAGGCGCGAAAGCGUGGGGAGCAAACAGG
RNAcentral lists this ribosomal RNA (253 nucleotides) under uncultured bacterium. RNAcentral describes it as "partial 16S ribosomal RNA". It matches the Rfam family "Bacterial small subunit ribosomal RNA", at positions 524 to 776 of the family's 1533-position model. The record is from RNAcentral.